GUCCGCGGGAAUUCGAUUCAGGCCUAACACAUGCAAGUCGAGCGGUAGAGAGAAGCUUGCUUCUCUUGAGAGCGGCGGACGGGUGAGUAAUGCCUAGGAAUCUGCCUGGUAGUGGGGGAUAACGUUCGGAAAAAAACGCUAAUACCGCAUCCGUCCUACGGGAGAAAGCAGGGGACCUUCGGGCCUUGCGCUAUCAGAUGAGCCUAGGUCGGAUUAGCUAGUUGGUGAGGUAAUGGCUCACCAAGGCGACGAUCCGUAACUGGUCUGAGAGGAUGAUCAGUCACACUGGAAUUGAGACACGGUCCAGACUCCUACGGGAGGCAGCAGUGGGGAAUAUUGGACAAUGGGCGAAAGCCUGAUCCAUCCAAGGCGCGUGUGUGAAGAAGGUCUUCGGAUGUAAAUUUUAUGAGGUUGGGAGGAAGGGCAGUUACCUAAUACGUGA
RNAcentral lists this ribosomal RNA (442 nucleotides) under uncultured bacterium. RNAcentral's name for it is "bacterial SSU rRNA". It matches the Rfam family "Bacterial small subunit ribosomal RNA", at positions 39 to 472 of the family's 1533-position model. The record is from RNAcentral.